RNAcentral lists this small nuclear RNA (261 nucleotides) under Erinaceus europaeus (western European hedgehog). RNAcentral describes it as "7SK RNA". It matches the Rfam family "7SK RNA". From Rfam's summary of the family: 7SK was discovered as an abundant small nuclear RNA in the mid-70s but a possible function has only recently been suggested. Two independent studies have found that 7SK RNA binds the CDK9/cyclin T complex (known as elongation factor P-TEFb). The record is from Rfam by way of RNAcentral. Lineage: Eukaryota; Metazoa; Chordata; Mammalia; Eulipotyphla; Erinaceidae.
GGAUGUGAGGGUGAUCUGGUCUGACAUCUGCUACUCCAUUGUUAAUUGGGCUGAUCUUACUGGGUGUCAGGUGGCCCCUUUCUUCCUCAAUGCUUCAUAUGUGUCCCUCCCAAAGCUGCAUGCUUGGUCAAGAGGACAAUGGACUGGUCUCUGGCAGAGGGUAUACCAGUAGCUGCACUCCUCUGCUAGAACCUCCCAACAAGUUCUCAAGUCAAAAAGAGAAGAAUGAAUCUGAGAUAACAUCGCUCAUAGAAAGACGUU